This 715-nucleotide long non-coding RNA is filed under the name Olea europaea subsp. europaea. Lineage: Eukaryota; Viridiplantae; Streptophyta; Magnoliopsida; Lamiales; Oleaceae. The record is from RNAcentral.
CUGCUCCCCUAGAAGUAAUCUCAUGCCGAAAGCUCUACAAAUCCCAGUGAUGAGACUCAGGAAAAUUAGUUUGUAGAUAUGUGUACCCAGGUCAUUCUUCAGCCCCGGGCUAAAUAGUUCACAAAGUUAGCCUUUGCAUGAUUAAAAGUAGUUCGGUGAGAAGUAGGAUCGAUGUUAUGCAUAUAAAGAUCAUCAAGAUCACAAGGGCUUCAAUCAGACUAAUGGAAUGGAAUUUAGGUAUGUAUAGAGGUCAUGCAUCCGCUCUUCAAUAUAGCACUUGUGCGAGCUCUAGCCAAGUGUGCUCCAAGGGUACAGGCACAAUAUUUUCUCUAGUCAGCCCAAAGUAAUAGUUGAUCACAUCUAGCGUAAACAUGAUCUACCUGUCUUAUGUCUACAUCUGAUAAGCAUGCUCAAAAACCUAGCACUUCUAUAUACACUUGAAGUUCGCACAGAACUCCUAAACUAGUGUAGGAUAAAUGUCAUGGGAUGCAUCAGCCACCUUCUUUUAGCUUACUCUAUAAAUCAACAUCUCCAACUUAAAUCCCACAAAGUCAUCUAAAAUCACUUGCCUCUUAAGCCAUAUUUUUCAUUUAGAGAUCAUUUUCUCAAAUCUUGCUUUGUGCUCUGGACUCAAAGACUUUCUCAAACCGCAAUCGUCGACAUGAGUACGUGUAGUGGUGGAUGAAGUUGCUUUGUCCUUUCUCUUUUAUGUGGU